AUAUAUAUAUAUAUAUAUAUAGGGGAGGGAUCCAUUGAGAAGGAGUCUCAAAAUGAGAAGGAUGAGAAGGAUUUAUAGCCAUAGAUCUUAUGAAGAUCUAACGGGUAAGAAUAAAAAGGGUUGAACCGUGACUAUAAAGAAAAUAAAGAAAAUGGUCCAAAAAAUAGGUUUCUCCCUCCUUUGAAAACCAAAAUUGUUGCUCAUCUUCUCUUCCUUGAAAACCAAAAACGCUGCUCCAUCUUCUCUUCGAUCUUCAAUUCAUGAAAACCAAAAAUUUCUUGCGAUUCUCUUCUUUUCAUCGUUGUCAUAGACAAAUGAUAAAAGUUGAUUUAUGUAAGAAGAUCAGAUGCUGAAAAUGAAGAGAUUGUUAAGAUGACUAUUUAUUUACUAGUAUGCUCUUGUAAAAGUUUUAAACAUACUAUUCCGUUGUAAUUUGAUACUAUGUUAUAAAUAAAGGUUACUAUGAUUAUAUAUAGUUACUAUCUUCUAUUU
Long non-coding RNA from Amaranthus tricolor (Joseph's coat), 492 nucleotides. RefSeq lists it as uncharacterized. The record is from RefSeq and is a predicted model, not a curated record. The transcript has 2 exons. NCBI's taxonomy places the organism in Eukaryota, Viridiplantae, Streptophyta, Magnoliopsida, Caryophyllales, Amaranthaceae.